AGCAGCCGCGGUAAUUCCAGCUCCAAUAGCGUAUAUUAAAGUUGUUGCAGUUAAAAAGCUCGUAGUUGAAUUUCGGGGUUAGUAGGUUGGUCAUGCCUCUGGUAUGUACUGGUCUCACUGAUUCCUCCUUCCUGAUGAACCUUAAUGCCAUUUAUUUGGUGUUUUGGGGAAUUUGGACUGUUACUUUGAAAAAAUUAGAGUGUUUAAAGCAAGCUAACGCUUGAAUACAUUAGCAUGGAAUAAUGAAAUAGGACGUUCGAUCCUAUUUUGUUGGUUUCUAGGAUUGACGUAAUGAUUAAUAGGGAUAGUUGGGGGCAUUAGUAUUCAAUUGUCAGAGGUGAAAUUCUUGGAUUUAUUGAAGACUAACUACUGCGAAAGCAUUUGCCAAGGAUGUUUUCAUUAAUCAAGAACGAAAGUUAGGGGAUCGAAGACGAUCAGAUACCGUCGUAGUCUUAACCAUAAACUAUG
Molecule: ribosomal RNA, 468 nt
Filed under: uncultured Glomus
Lineage: Eukaryota; Fungi; Glomeromycota; Glomeromycetes; Glomerales; Glomeraceae
Description: SSU rRNA
Rfam family: Eukaryotic small subunit ribosomal RNA
Source: RNAcentral